Molecule: long non-coding RNA, 531 nt
Organism: Oreochromis aureus
Lineage: Eukaryota; Metazoa; Chordata; Actinopteri; Cichliformes; Cichlidae
Source: Ensembl
GUCCGGGUGUGUGCCAGUGUGUCUCCCUCUGAGCCGGCAUCUCCACCCCUGGGAGGGGCCUCAGUGUUCUGCUGAUUGCUCACACCUGUGGGUAAUUUAGCCGGGGACUCAUAAGGCCAGCGCACUUAACCUCUCUUUGCCAGAUUCUCAGCUAACCCUACCACACCAAGCUGCCAAACACUAACCCCUGCCAAAGAGCUCCAACCCGGACGCUGGACCACCUGACAGUGCCACGGGCUGUUCACCUGAACCACCUGCCUGACUCCCUGCAUCCACGCCAGGAAUCUCGGACCACACACCGGACCACUCACCCCUCCACGUCACCACCGACCACCCGCGGCAAUGACUCUGACCCUUUCCCUGGACCCAGUGUGACUUUCCCCCCAGUCCAAUCCUCGGAACUGCUGUUUUCACUGACCAAGACCAGAUUGCUUACUUAGCCCAGGCUGCUUAAGACCCCUUUGAUUCAGUUGUGGCACUUCGCACUUGUUAACCUCACUUUCCAGUUUAUAAACACUUACUGAAUAAAUA